CACGGGGUUGCGAGCGUUGUCCGGAAUUACUAGGCGUAAAGGGCAGGCAGGCGGAUCCAUAAGUUUAUCGUUUAAGGCGUCGGCUUAACCGGCGUAGGGCGGUAGAUACUGUGGAUCUGGAAUGCGGUUGGGGAAGACAGAAUUCCUGGUGUAGCGGUGGAAUGCGCAGAGAUCAGGAGGAAUACCGAAGGCGAAGGCAGUCUUCCAAGCCGUUAUUGACGCUCAACUGCGAAGGUGUGGGUAUCAAACAGGAUUAGAUACCGGUAGUCCCUGAG
RNAcentral lists this ribosomal RNA (275 nucleotides) under uncultured prokaryote. RNAcentral describes it as "partial 16S ribosomal RNA". It matches the Rfam family "Bacterial small subunit ribosomal RNA", at positions 524 to 801 of the family's 1533-position model. The record is from RNAcentral.